CAACCCUCAAGCCCUGCUUGGUGUUGGGGCCCUACGGCUGCCGUAGGCCCUGAAAGGAAGUGGCGGGCUCGCUACAACUCCGAGCGUAGUAAUUCAUUAUCUCGCUAUGGACGUUGCGGCGGCGCUCCUGCCGUUAAAGACCCCAUCUUUAACCAA
Molecule: unclassified non-coding RNA, 156 nt
Filed under: Coniochaeta sp.
Lineage: Eukaryota; Fungi; Ascomycota; Sordariomycetes; Coniochaetales; Coniochaetaceae
Also listed under: 1 other name
Description: partial internal transcribed spacer 2
Source: RNAcentral